GAAACAAAUAGAAUUAGUGUUUCCGAAUCAAUAUCUCGAACGAACUCUAAAAAUUCUCCAAAGGAAAUAGAUUCCAAUACCGAAAAACUACAACCCCGUCUAGACCCCCGAUUCCGAAGAAACCAAGUAAAACAACCAAUCAUAGAAGACGAUUUUAAAAUCUGAAGACUGAUAGUAAUGGACAAAGUUCACGUGAGGUUCAGUCUUGGAAACAAACAUAUGUUACAAUACAUCGAAGCUAACACUGAACAAGGAAGACGAUA
RNAcentral lists this long non-coding RNA (263 nucleotides) under Mytilus galloprovincialis (Mediterranean mussel). Lineage: Eukaryota; Metazoa; Mollusca; Bivalvia; Mytilida; Mytilidae. The record is from RNAcentral.